AACUUAACCACUGUGUCACCAGGCCAGCCCCUCUGGUAGCUUUUGAUAUCUACUUUCUUUCUUCUCCUCCCUGCACUUUCUCUGCAGUGUGUUUCAGUGUGGAUUUAUGUUGUUUAUACUACUUGGAACUUGUGCUUCUUGAAGCUGAAGCUUUAUAUCUUUCAUCCAUUCUGGAAAACACUCAUCUUUCUCAUUUUCUCUCUUCUUUCUGGAAUUCCUUAAGAUUGCUCCUGGCAGGCCAUGAAGCACUGUGGCACAAACGUGGCUUUUUUCUCUCCAGAAGGGAAUUUCUGCCUCUUCCAUCUCAGUCAGUACUGUCCCUUGUCGUGGGGGCUUUUUUUAUCCAGUUUUCAGUUCUCUCUCAGGGGUAAUUGUUCCAAGAGUAGUUGUAAAUUUGUUGUGUCUGUGGGAGGGGAAGUUCAGAGCACCUACGCCGCCAUCUUGACACCAUCCUCUGGGCUGGCACUCCUGCUCUCUCUUCCUUAGACAACUCACCCUGGGGGAAGCCAGCUGCCACGUCAUGAGGACACUCAGGCAACUUAUGGAGACGCCCAUGUGGCAAAGAAUGGAAGUGUCCUGCAACAGCCAGUGAGGAACCAGGGCCUGCCAGUAAACAGCUCGAGAAGAACAGUGGUCACCCCUGUCCAAGACACAUCCUUCUCCCUCGUCCUCAUAUUAGGCAGGACUCUCAGUUUCAAGUGGCACAAAAAUUUAGCACGAACUGGCUGAGGACUGUGUUAGACGCGGGGACUCACACAAUGUCAUUGGGACUCAGUCCCUCUCCAUUUCUCGGCUCUGUUAUCGUCCGUGUUGACUUCAUUCCCAGGCAGGUCCUCCUUAUGUGGUAGCAAAGACAGCCCCCCUUAGCUCCAGGCUGCCAUUCUCAGCAGCGUGGCAAUCCCAGAAGACAGGAUUCCAGCGGAAGCCCCAGGGCCAGCGCUCAUUGGACAGAACCGUGUCACGUGUUCUUUCACGACCCCGCCGCUGUGGCCAGGCGUUAGAACAAGCUGAUUGGCCAGGCCUGAGUCACAUGACUACUUCCAAAGUUGGGGGAGGCUGCGGCCCAGGGAGUGGAGAAGGACAGUUGCCCAAAGGACAGUUGCACUUGGGGAAGGAGACGGUGAAAGCGACAGAUCUCUACCUGACUUUCAGCGUCUCUACUGCUCCCUCCUCUGCCACCCGUAUACAGUGACGAAUCCCCAGAGCUCUCCUGUUCUCAGCCCAGACUCACCUUUGUUUCCACCCAGACGUCCUGCAGAACCUCCAGACCCGUGUGUCCAGAAUCACAUCCGUUAGCUUCCCUCCUCCUGGCCACCAUCGUCCUCUGUUCGUUUCCUAUUCCUGCUGUGUAGAUCGCCACAGACGCGCUGGACUACAACGGCACGAAUGUAUCAUCGUACAGUCAUGGAGGGCGGAAGUCCAAAACGAGUCUUCUGGGGCUAAAUUCCAUGUGUUGGCCUGGCUGGUUCCUUCCAGAAGCUCUGGGGGAGAAUCUGCCCCUUGCCUUCUUCUUCUGGACGCUGUUUGCAUUCCUUGGCUUCUGGCCCCACAGCCUUUCCUCCCUGUGCUGUCACUGUCACGUCACCUUCUCCAGACUCCGCUCUCCUGCCUCCCUCUUAUAAGGCCCCUUGUGGUUGCAUUUAGGGCCCACCUCUCCAUCUUAAGGUCAUUAACUGGAUCACCUCUGCAGAAGGGAGUCCCUUUGCUGCGUAAGGUGAUCUGCACAGGGUCAGAGGAUUACGACGGGGACAUCUUUGAGGGCCCACCACCCCACCCAGACACGUGACGGCCCCACUCUAGCCACCUGGGAAUCCCCAGGCACUCUCGGGGUCCACCAGGCGCUUCCUCCUCCCUCUUCCUUUGCUCCUGCAGUUUCCUCGGCUGAAUGACCCCCAUCCCAGCCCUUCCCACCUGCCAGUCUCCGUACUUGAACUUCAAGGCUUAGCUCAAAUUGCACUUCUCUUUUGUAGCUUUCUUCCACUCCUACGACUGGUAUACUGAGGUACACACUUUCUCGUGUCCCAGAGCAUAGUGUUUUAUGACAGUGAACCACAGUAGCCAGUUCACCUUUCCAACCACUCGUUUGAUCGUGACAUCUUUAGGAGCAGAGACUUUUGCUUGAUCACCUCUAUUGCUCCAGCUCCUAACUCAUAGCUCAUGGCAUUUAAUAAGGUGCAAAAAAUAUUUACGGAAUCCCACAGCAGGUAAUGGAAUCCAUCACGAUUUUUUAAAGUCCCAGCUCAUGGUGGGCUGCUUUUAUGGUGGAUGUCAGCUGUUUCGCCUGCCUGCCCAGCAUUCCUGACCCCCCUGUUUGAUACCCACUCCCCGCCGUCCUCUGGGGACCCCCCACUCCCCCUUAUGAGGGUCGUGAUCAUAUGGCCGUAUUGGCCACAGCGCCACACGUGGGUCUGGUCAGUCAGAGCCAGAGUGACUGUCCCAGAUGGAGGCAUGUGGCCCAGUCUGGGCUAAAGAGAGUGAAGACCUGGGAUUUUACAUGGAGGUGGGAGAGAGAAGCGGCUGGUGAGCUGGUGUGAGGAGCGCCUGGAGCUGUGGGGGGCCCUGCCGCGCCCUGUCACCCUCCACCUGGAAGAAGCUUGCCUGCAGACAAGACAGUGAAGUCAACCAGAGGGAAAACCGAACUCGGGUGGUACGUGAGAUAGGCAGAUGUGGGACAGUGGUCCCCAGGCAGCCUCCGCGCCUGGACUUCCCUUGGCGACAGCUAAGCAGUUCCCUUUCUUCCUGAUAUCAGUUGGAGUUGGAUUCUGACACUCGUGCCUGAGCGGAUCGUGACCGAUACAGGUUUGAACUCUGGGGUAAAAUCAUCUCCAGAAUCCUCCAGCAGACUUCCCUCUUCUUCUCACUGGCCAAAAUCAAGUCACAUGACCAUCCCUGAUCCAUCUCUUGCACAGGGGAACAGGAUUGCUAUGAUUGGCUGUGACCAGUCAUGAGUCAUCUCUUUGCUCAGAGAGCAGCACAACUGACCGGAUACUCACCCUCUUUGAGUUUCUGGGGGUGGUGAGGCCCAUCUCCAGUCUUGGGAGCAGUCUGUGUGGAGGGCCUUCUCUGGGCCAGGCCUUGUGCAGAUGAAGGAAAACAGUCCCCACCUUCAAAUGCACGCAGGAGGCAGGAAGGAGCCACUACACGGUCUGCAGGGAAAAGUUGGACACAGACACCUGUGCACGGGGAGAACCGCCAUCUGCAGUUGAAGGUAGAGAUCCGGGAUGCCUUUAGAGCCCUGGAAUGCCCGAGACGGCCAGUGCUCACCAGAAGAGGAGAGGGGCCUGGAACAAUCCUUCUCCACAGCCCUCGGAAGGAGCCACCUGCAGACAUCUGAUCUCAGACUUGUGGCUUCCAGACCGUGAGACAAUAAAUCUCUGUUGUCUCCGCCAUUCAGUCUGUGGCACUUUGUUAGGGCGGCCCUAGGAACGUAACAUACCAUCUUCGUCUCAAGGUAGCUGGGAAGAAAUAGAGGAGAGGCAGGGCCAUAUGAGAUGAGCCUAGAAGGCAGGUCAGGGCCGGAUCAGACAGGGCCUCACAGGUUCCGAUAAGACUUUGGGUUUUACUCUAAGGUCCAGGAAACCGUUGAUGGGUUUAUAACUGCCAUAAGCAGAGAAGCGAUCCUGUGUGGAGAAUGAUUUGGAAGGGGGCGGAAGUAACAGCGGAAAGACCAGCAUGGAAGCCACUGCACCUGUCCAGGUGGGAGGAGAUCGUGGCUUGAUCAGGUGGCAGCCCCGAGGGUGGAGAACAUCGAGUGGCUUCCAUAGCCAUUUGAGGGACAGGGUACCUGGACCUGCUGGUGGAUGGAGACGGGGAGAGACGCAGAGGAAUGGAGGGGGAUGCCCAGUUCCAGGCCUGAGCAACGGGGUGGAUGAGGGUGCUUCUUAUUCUGAGACAAAAGACCAGCGCCGAGGACGGGGGUAGAUUUGUGGGGGAGAAGGAAAGAAUUCCUUUCAAACACUGAAGUUUGAGACGUGUGUGCAACAUCCCAACAGAGAGACCAAGCCAGCAGAUGGGCCAGGGAGUCUGGAGCUCAGAGCGGGGUCCAGGCAGAUGGGUCAGUGAGUCUGGAGCUCAGACCGGGGUCCAGGCAGAUGGGUCAGUGAGUCUGGAGCUCACAGCGGGGUCCAGGCAGAUGGGCCAGUGAGUCUGGAGCUCAGAGCAGGGUCCAGGCAGAUGGGCCAGGGAGUCUGGAGCUCAGAGCGGGGUCCAGGCAGAUGGGUCAGUGAGUCUGGAGCUCAGACCGGGGUCCAGGCGGAGGUGGGACUUGGGGAUUUGACUGCAUAGAGGUGGUCUUUAAACCACAGGAAUUGGUGAGCUGGCCUAGAGAGGGCAGAGAAAGAAGAGGAAGCCGGGGUUGAGCCCGAGAAUCCCCAACCUUCAUGGGGCUGGUGUGACUGAGAACGUGGCACGAUUGCUGACGUGAGGAAGAAACAGGGCCUGGGAAGGCAGGCCAGACCAGGGGUGGGCGGGCCCUCCUGAGGAGAACCCUAACAGGAAGCUUGGCUGCACGAAUAGGAGUUGGCCAGGGGGAAAAGAGUAGCUGUCAGAGGGAACAGAGGCAAACACCAGUGUGUUAGUUUCCCAGGUAACAAAGUACCUCCGAGCAGGGGCUAGGACAACAGAAGCUGCUUCUCUCACAGUGCUGGAGGCCAGAAGUCCGAAUGGAGCUUUUUGUGCACACUCUCGAUCAUGGAGGCAUUCCCUGACCUCCCUUUCCCCACCCCCUUGCACUAUUUCAUUUUUCUUCCCGGCACUUACCAGUAUCU
Long non-coding RNA from Equus caballus (horse), 4766 nucleotides. The record is from Ensembl. NCBI's taxonomy places the organism in Eukaryota, Metazoa, Chordata, Mammalia, Perissodactyla, Equidae.